UGGGGAAUUUUGGACAAUGGGCGAAAGCCUGAUCCAGCAAUGCCGCGUGUGUGAAGAAGGCCUUCGGGUUGUAAAGCACUUUUGUCCGGAAAGAAAUCCUUGGCUCUAAUACAGUCGGGGGAUGACGGUACCGGAAGAAUAAGCACCGGCUAACUACGUGCCAGCAGCCGUGGUAAUACGUAGGGUGCAAGCGUUAAUCGGAAUUACUGGGCGUAAAGCGUGCGCAGGCGGUUUGCUAAGACCGAUGUGAAAUCCCCGGGCUCAACCUGGGAACUGCAUUGGUGACUGGCAGGCUAGAGUAUGGCAGAGGGGGGUAGAAUUCCACGUGUAGCAGUGAAAUGCGUAGAGAUGUGGAGGAAUACCGAUGGCGAAGGCAGCCCCCUGGGCCAAUACUGACGCUCAUGCACGAAAGCGUGGGGAGCAAACAGGAUUAGAUACCCUGGUAGUCCACGCCCUAAACGAUGUCAACUAGUUGUUGGGGAUUCAUUUCCUUAGUAACGUAGCUAACGCGUGAAGUUGACCGCCUGGGGAGUACGGUCGCAAGAUU
RNAcentral lists this ribosomal RNA (547 nucleotides) under uncultured bacterium. RNAcentral describes it as "partial 16S ribosomal RNA". It matches the Rfam family "Bacterial small subunit ribosomal RNA", at positions 355 to 895 of the family's 1533-position model. The record is from RNAcentral.